This 19-nucleotide non-coding RNA is filed under the name Mus musculus (house mouse). Lineage: Eukaryota; Metazoa; Chordata; Mammalia; Rodentia; Muridae. The record is from RNAcentral.
UUCAUCAGUGGCUAAGUUC